This 72-nucleotide transfer RNA is filed under the name Ovis aries (sheep). It matches the Rfam family "tRNA". Rfam says of the family: Transfer RNA (tRNA) molecules are approximately 80 nucleotides in length. Their secondary structure includes four short double-helical elements and three loops (D, anti-codon, and T loops). The record is from Rfam by way of RNAcentral. Lineage: Eukaryota; Metazoa; Chordata; Mammalia; Artiodactyla; Bovidae.
UCCCUGGUAAUUUAGCUGGUAAAGGAUUUGCCUGCAAUGCAGGAGACCCCGGUUUGAAUCCUGGGUAGGGAA